GUAGGUGGCAAGCGUUGUCCGGAAUUAUUGGGCGUAAAGCGCGCGCAGGCGGUCCUUUAAGUCUGAUGUGAAAGCCCACGGCUCAACCGUGGAGGGUCAUUGGAAACUGGGGUACUUGAGUACAGAAGAGGAAAGCGGAAUUCCAAGUGUAGCGGUGAAAUGCGUAGAGAUUUGGAGGAACACCAGUGGCGAAGGCGGCUUUCCGGUCUGUAACUGACGCUGAGGCGCGAAAGCGUGGGGAGCAAACAGGAUUAGAUACCCUGGUAGUCCACGCCGUAAACGAUGAGUGCUAAGUGUUAGGGGGUUUCCGCCCCUUAGUGCUGCAGCUAACGCAUUAAGCACUCCGCCUGGGGAGUACGGCCGCAAGGCUG
RNAcentral lists this ribosomal RNA (371 nucleotides) under uncultured organism. Its description in RNAcentral is "partial 16S ribosomal RNA". It matches the Rfam family "Bacterial small subunit ribosomal RNA", at positions 527 to 896 of the family's 1533-position model. The record is from RNAcentral.